This is a long non-coding RNA of Orcinus orca (killer whale), 262 nucleotides long. RefSeq lists it as uncharacterized. The record is from RefSeq and is a predicted model, not a curated record. The transcript is spliced from 2 exons. Lineage: Eukaryota; Metazoa; Chordata; Mammalia; Artiodactyla; Delphinidae.
AGUUCCUGUUUCAUAAUUGACCUUUGCCACCAUCAACUUAUAGAAAAUAGGGUUUCAAGAAGUCAGAUGGAGUGGCCUGCUUUCAACACCCAGAGCUAGUGAUGCAGGACCAGGUCAGCUCCUACCAAGGAUUCCUGCUCACACUGGGACACGUAAGUAAGGGUCAUGAAAGAAUGCUGGUUGUGGUCCAUGAACUCACAGAAAUUAUAAACCAUCUUUGAGGAAAGAAUCAGUCCACCUGAAGAGUGUGUUAAAGGGAAAA